RNA transcript from Synchiropus splendidus (mandarinfish), 3327 nucleotides. It is a transcript of the gene named N-methylpurine DNA glycosylase, with no coding region annotated. The record is from RefSeq and is a predicted model, not a curated record. The transcript has 4 exons. NCBI's taxonomy places the organism in Eukaryota, Metazoa, Chordata, Actinopteri, Syngnathiformes, Callionymidae.
UUGUAAACAAAGUUCCACUUCCGUGACGCUAACGCUUUGUUAGCAACAUGACGAGUUCCCUGUGAACCAAGAUCAAAAACAUGUUAGCGUUUCAGUAGUGCGUUAAAAAUGAUCUGAAAUGAUGGCGCUCAGAAAGAGAAGAGCAUUGUGCGAGGCGUCCUCCGUUCAAUCCAAACAAGCUAAAUCACAAAGUGACAGUGACACAAGUCGCUAUUUCGCUCCGACUGAUCCACAGAAGAGACUGGGAGACAGGUUUUUCGACCAGCCCUGUGUGUGUCUGGCCAGAGCCUUGCUCGGAAAGGUGUUGGUCCACAAGUGUGAGGAUGGCACUGAGUUGAGAGGACGAAUCGUGGAGACAGAAGCGUAUCUCGGAGGAGAGGACAAAGCUUCGCACUCAGCCGGAGGCAAGCGCACGGAGAGGAACACUGCCAUGUUUAUGAAGCCUGGCACAAUCUAUGUGUAUCCCAUCUACGGAAUCUACCUCUGUAUGAACGUGUCUAGUCAAGGGGAGGGGGCUGCUGUUCUGCUGCGCUCCCUGGAGCCCCUGCAGGGUCACAAGGUCAUGCGUCAGCUGAGGACAGCCAAACGCAAAGAGGGAGCGCCACAGUUGAAGGACAAAGACCUCUGCAACGGCCCCUCAAAGCUGUGCCAGGCUCUGAAGGUAACCCGCUGCUUCGACCGUCGAGAUCUGGCUUCUGACGCCGAGGUUUGGCUGGAGGACGCGGAGGCGGCGGAACCCAGCGCUGUAGUGUCAACGUCUCGGAUCGGGAUCGAGUCUCACGGGGAAUGGGCCAAGAAGCCGCUGCGGUUUUAUCUCCGCGGACACCCGUGUGUGAGCGUGGUGGACAGAGUGGCUGAGAAACUGAGCGGAAUAAACACAGAAGUAAACAAAGAGACUUUGUAGUCUAUGUUAACUUCAAUUGUAAAAAGUCCUCCACCGUUGAUGGGACUGUAUAACUGAAGUGCAAAUGUUGAUGCCAUUUAAGCCAAGCAAUAUAUGAAUUUUCACGCUGGAAUUUGGAAUAUGAAAAAGAGCUUCUCUCACACCAUCUUUAAAAACAGUUUUUCUACCACUUGAGCUCACACUUGAUCUGGUUUUUCUAUUACUCCUGACCUUUUCUAAUUAUUAUGCGUUCAACCACUGUCUUUUUCAAUAAACAAUCCUACCUGAGCGCCUCAGUGGUUUCACAGCUGUUGGCUCGAUCUGUGUGACGUUGACAGCCGCUGUCUUUCUCUUCAGGUAGCUGUAAGUCUGGAAUGAUCAUUACUCACUGUGUGUGUGUGUGUCCACAGGAAAACAGUCCACUUCGUUUGCACAAAAUAAUUUAAUAUUUUCCAAUAGGCAGAAAUUAAGUACAAGCGCUUCCUUCUCACCGUGUCGCCAGGUCUCUGUUUCUACUCCAUUGGCGACUGGAAGAUUGAAAUAAUGGGGUCCUCGUGAUUCGUCACCACCAGGACGCUGCGGAACUUGUCAAACAGAGUCUUGAGCUGCGAGCGCCGGAUGUUCUCGUUGUACAUGAUCUCUUCCAGAUGGUGGUGGCCCCGGAAAUAGUGCAGGAGCCUGGAAGAAGUCGACAGAGCGGGAUGGAAAAGAGGAGAAUGGAUUGUAAAGUGAGACUGACACACAGUUUCUGUGAAGGUGUUUAUACGCUGACUUUUGCUAGUGAAGAUGCAAAUAUCAGUGUUUCUGUGCUGACAGAAAACAAGGUGAAUAAGGAAAACCACUCAAAAAAAAAGACACUUAAAAUUGCUUGUUGAUCUUAAAAGAGAUUCACAAGUUCACUCUUUCAGGACCGCACGACGGUCAUUGUCAUUAAUAGUCUUGUCGGAUGCUUAUAUUUAUUUUAUCCGUGCAAUUCGGGUUUUCGAGUUUCAGACUGUAAUACGCUCGACCGGACAGCAGGCGGCAGUAGCACUGCAAGAGCUGCGACAACACAGGUCGUAGCGCAGCAACCACUUCCGUUUGGAGGUAAUAAUUUAUACGUUUUUUUUAAAAACGAUAACUACAGAUUCUAUCAAUAAUAAGAAGGAGUUUAUAAUAAAUUCACUCAAAGAGGAGCAAAUACCUUGACUACGAAUAAAACAGUAUAUUAUUUUUGACAUUUGAAGGUGAUAUGUUAAAUAAAAUCAUGUUGUUUAUGUACAACAGUUGGAAGUAAGGUGAGGUGGAUUGAACUUAUUAUAUUUAUUUAUUUGACUCCAGAUUUUGCAUCUCUGGCUGACUAACCUGGCAAACAUCCGCAGAUCUUCUGGGUUCUGUGAGGCGGGGAUGUUGAGGAUGACCUGCCUCUCGUGGUCCGAGAGGCUGGCGAGCAGCGUCUCCGUCAUCCUCACGUUGAGAGGCGCGUCUCCGCCAGGAAGCAAUUCGGCGCUGGAGUUUUCCAUGCUUGGACUGUGCUUCAACUGUUGUGUAAUUCACUGAGGAACCUACUUGGGGAUCCAAAGCUGAGGGCACUUGGGGUACUGAGACUACGGCCCCCCACUCGUGCAGCCAGAGGGGGCUCUUCGUCUCGCAGCCCCGGCUCAUCCUCACUGGGCGGCACCAGCAAGCAGACGUACGUGUGCAGCUGGAUGAGGAGGCGGCGCUGCAGCAUCCACACCACCAUCUGGAUCAGCUGAGUCUGGUGAGAAGGCAGGUUAGCAGACAGACUCUCAUGAAAUAUGAAGCAGCUCGAGCUGUUGCUGAGGCAUUCAUCAUUUAUCACUGCUGAACUUGGAGAGCGCAGAUGACUGAACCUCCUUCGAACUUACACUAAGUAGUUACAGUCCAGAGCACGAAUAGAUAUAGUUACAUCUAUCUAUAUCAUAUGCUUGAACAAGAAAACAAACAUAAAUAAUAAACAGUACAAUUGAAGAACAUAUCUGGGGGAAAAUAUAGGUCAAUAAAAGGUCAAAUGAAGGUCAAGUAUAAAAAGGGCCAGAUGCAUUUCAACAGUAAAAAGCAGCCAUAAUUCUGGCAACGCAGACCUACCUCCUGGGCGGGAGCUUCCAGGGGGUUCCUGAACUCAGCCAGUGACACCGGCAGGGAGAACUUAGCCAACAUGGAGGGCAGGUCGCUGCCAGGAAACUGCUGGGCGAACUGUCGAGCCAAGUUUGAGUAUCUAACCAAGAAGAACGUUUACAUUAUCACAGCUCAUUGCAAGUCACGCCUCCACUUGAUGCUCAGCAGAGUCCGGCGGAAAGGUAAACAAAGUGAGAGGGAGAGUUCAGCAGACACUCACAGGCUGAUGUUGGCGUGAGGAGACAGCAUGUAGACGUUGUUCUCACACAGAGGGUAGAUGAUGAUGGCUUUUCCCCAGUAAACCAGAUGAGCGGCAAUCUGAAAUA